Melitaea cinxia (Glanville fritillary) is the source of this 1623-nucleotide long non-coding RNA. RefSeq lists it as uncharacterized. Lineage: Eukaryota; Metazoa; Arthropoda; Insecta; Lepidoptera; Nymphalidae. The record is from RefSeq and is a predicted model, not a curated record. The transcript has 3 exons.
CCUUGAAUUUCCCAAGGAGGGUUGAUGUCAGGCAGGCGGCCGGUCGUAAAAUAUACAAGCCAAAUCAUUACAUUACAACAUGAGCUUGGGAAUUAGAGUAUGCGAUAAUGCUAGGGCGUACCCCACAGGCGACGCGCAGAUGCAGCACCCGGCGUCUGUGGGAAAUGGACAAGGGUUGCUGCACCAGGGACGGGGGUAGCGUAAGAGGCGAGUCCAGGAGAAAAUGGCAUACUACCCAAAUAAGCAACAGACACUGCAGAUUUUAUGUUGUUUACGGACGAUUUAUUUGAUUCACUCAAUGGCAGUCACCAAAAUUUUAAUGUUCGGUCUGGGAAAGACUUGUUUCGAAAUGUUACACCAAAAUCAAGGCAUCGAGAAAUUUGGUCGCAAGCUAAAACUGUAUUAAGGACAAUGAAAUUUGUUACCAUGAAAGGUAGUUAUGGCACUGUACCAACUAUAAAUAAUUGGAUAAAUACGAUAGAAAACAUUGAACUUUUGCGUGAGAAACUGUUUUAUGACUACAACAUAAAAACAUUUUGGUGCAGACAUUUGAACCAGGAUCCUCUGGAAAACUUUUUUAGUAGCAUUAAGAGUCAUGGGCUUAGAAACAUCUCACUCUCAUGUGCUACUUUCAAAGCGGCGCGUCUUUGCUAAUCACUAAUUUAAGUAGCAUUUAUUAUCGGGGUUCAAAUUGUAAGGAGGAUUUCUGUACCAUGUUUGAGUCAUUUGAAGAAUUAUUUUUUACAAAAAAUGCGAGAUCUAGUCCUGGUUCAGAAAUUGAUAUUAACGAUAUUUUAAAUGAAGAAAUUGUUAGCGAUUUCGAAAAUAAAAAGAAAAACCCAAAAAUAAUUGCACAGCUCGAAUAUGUUACUGGUUACUAAAACUAAAAACUGGUUAUUAAAAAAGCUAAAAGAAAAAAAAAAUCCGAAAUUGUAAUGCUUGCAAAAAAGUUUUGUAUACAGAGGAUCCUGGUGUUAAUAAAUAUAUUUAAUACAAAGAAUAUUCAAAGAAAAAAAAUGUUUACAAUACCCUAGCAAAGAAUUAACAAAGUUUUUCUCAGAGAUACAGGAUAUGCUGCAUCAUGUACUGAGAUUCAAAAGUCAUAUAGAUAACUUAAAAAACUACAUGAAAACUUUGUUAUACGUGAAUCUAAAUACGAAUUUCAUUCAUGAUUUCAUCACAAAGUGGAAAUAACUGAAAUCAUUUUUGAAUUUUCCUGUAAUUUUUUUAUCAAUAAUUGGUGCAAAAUAACAAAUAAAUUAUUAUGUGGCACCAGCAAAGAUGUGGACGCAUUAGACAAAAUGCAAAACCAAGCAUUACUUUAUUAUAAUAAAAGGAAAAAAAUUGUAAAGGCUACAGCAGUCUGAAUAAAUAAUAUUUGUUUACUGCAGAACACAUAAAAAUAUAUACCUUUAGAUUUAGAAAGUUUAGAUAUUCUUAUAUGUUCUAUUUUCAACAAAUUAAAUAGGUACGUGAUAAAUCAAAACGAUUGAAAAUCGUAACAACCGACUUCAGCAUUUGUGACAGACUUCAUGAUAGCGGAGUAAUCGCUUAAAAAGUAUUUCUCGAGUUCAUAUUUUGAAAAGCACUAAAAUGAUUUUGAUAAAACCUUUAUGGGACCCC